UACGAAGGGGGCUAGCGUUGUUCGGAAUUACUGGGCGUAAAGGGCGCGUAGGUGGCCUGUUAAGUCGAACGUGAAAUCCCCGGGCUCAACCCGGGAACUGCGUCCGAGACUGGCAGGCUCGAAUCCGGGAGAGGGAUGUGGAAUUCCAGGUGUAGCGGUGAAAUGCGUAGAUAUCUGGAGGAACACCGGUGGCGAAGGCGGCAUCCUGGACCGGUAUUGACGCUGAGGCGCGAAAGCCAGGGGAGCAAACGGG
Molecule: ribosomal RNA, 253 nt
Filed under: uncultured bacterium
Lineage: Bacteria
Description: partial 16S ribosomal RNA
Rfam family: Bacterial small subunit ribosomal RNA
Source: RNAcentral